This 196-nucleotide non-coding RNA is filed under the name chicken gut metagenome. RNAcentral's name for it is "raiA RNA". It matches the Rfam family "raiA RNA". The record is from RNAcentral.
UUAGGUCUGUGGUUGUAAAUCGAGGCCAGUUGCAGGCGAAACGAUCCACGUAAGCAAUCAAAGUAUUGUGAGCACGGUGCAGCUUAGGAGUAAGACCUGCCGCUAAAUGGCGAGAGUAGUAGUAGUGGGGAGCGCUAAUGCUUAGGAGCGAACCUGCCAGCAGGCGAGUGUGGGGGCGAAGACCAGGUCAGCUAGG